UGGGGGAUAUUGCGCAAUGGGGGCAACCCUGACGCAGCAACGCCGCGUGAAGGAUGAAGGUUUUCGGAUUGUAAACUUCUUUUAUUAAGGACGAAACUUGACGGUACUUAAUGAAUAAGCUCCGGCUAACUACGUGCCAGCAGCCGCGGUAAUACGUAGGGAGCAAGCGUUGUCCGGAUUUACUGGGUGUAAAGGGUGCGUAGGCGGCUUUGCAAGUCAGAUGUGAAAUCUAUGGGCUCAACCCAUAAACUGCAUUUGAAACUGUAGAGCUUGAGUGAAGUAGAGGCAGGCGGAAUUCCCCGUGUAGCGGUGAAAUGCGUAGAGAUGGGGAGGAACACCAGUGGCGAAGGCGGCCUGCUGGGCUUUAACUGACGCUGAGGCUCGAAAGCUAGGGUAGCGAACG
RNAcentral lists this ribosomal RNA (403 nucleotides) under uncultured bacterium. RNAcentral describes it as "bacterial SSU rRNA". It matches the Rfam family "Bacterial small subunit ribosomal RNA", at positions 355 to 774 of the family's 1533-position model. The record is from RNAcentral.